AUCCACCUAACGAGUCCCAAAUAGGACGAAACGCGCUUUGUCCUGUAU
Schistosoma margrebowiei is the source of this 48-nucleotide non-coding RNA. The record is from Rfam. NCBI's taxonomy places the organism in Eukaryota, Metazoa, Platyhelminthes, Trematoda, Strigeidida, Schistosomatidae.